ACAUCAGGGGACUCAGAAGUUUCUUGAGUUCCAUCUAACUGAUUGCUGCUGACAGAUGGACUGAAGGCACUUUCUCCAGAGCCGAUGCUGCUCGAGGUUGAGUGGGUUUGUGAUCAGGUAAGCCAGGUCAUGCUGGCAGAUGGGAUGUAGCCCACUCCCUGCAAAAAGUACUUAAAGGCCUCGGUGAGCUUCCCUGGGCUGAACUACUUGGGGUAGUCCACCACAGUCUGCCGUCUUUAGCAAGGUUGUAUUUACAGGAUCCAGGUGAGAACUGCAUUCAACCACAGCCUCAACUCCAGGUGAAUUGUCACCUACCACCAAUAAAGUAGAACAGUUUAAUGUUUUUGAUUUGUUACCAUUUUGUCCCAGGAUGGGUCUUCAAUCUCCAAGUCUUUGUAUCUGUUAUAAGAACUCAGGAAGAGCUAUAGGUUUUCUUGGUUGAUAUCUUGGGUAAUACGCAGUCUGUAGGUUUGAAUCAGGUUCAGGUUGGCUUGCAAUUCUUCUUGCCCAAAGUGAUGAGCCAAAAUAAUGUCCACAACAUUGGUUGUCAAUCCUGAGAGUUUGGAAGCUGCCCAGUCAAUCCAGCCUUUAGCACAAGGGUCAACAUUAACGAGCACGAGACCUUCCACAAGCUUUGGGUGAUUGAGAGCAAAUCUGCUGAGGAUGUAAGCUCCAACUCCAACCCCAGUGAUGCUUUUGGAAUUUAAGUGGGUGAGAACAGAAGGUAGCAUUUGGGCCCGCUCAUCCAUUGUGGGGUACUGGUACCCAGUUGGGAAAGAGGGUGCACCUUCCUUCUGGUCUGGGGCAUCCACAUGACAGACAGCAAAGUGCUGGGUGAUUUCUUGCAUAUCCUCAAAGUUAAAGAAUGCAUUGAAACAGGAUUUAUGAUUGAGGCCAAUGUAUGGUAUAUCCAAUAAAUGGUCUGUUUCCCUUUGGUAAGCCUCUUAUAGUGACAUGGACCAUCCAUGAGUUGUUUCUACAUCAUGUUCCUUGGAUUUUAUUCUCACCCUUUCUCAAAUGAUCUCCUUCUAGGUAAAUUAUAUCAAAUAUUAACAGCAAUCCAGUUCAACUGGUUCAACCUGACAGUCAAAGUCCUGGAAGUUUCGUGUACCAUUCUUAUCAUUUAGAAGUAGUUUGAUCUCUGUGAGUUGAACAUCCUGAAAUUCAUCCAUGAGGACAAAUGAAUCAGUAACUCUGAGGCUCCAGCAGCUGCUGUCAGUGCAGCAGCCCCGGCAGUGCAAGUUGGGCGGGAGAGGCUCUGCAGGUACCCAUCUUUGAAAACAAAGCCAACCAUGAAGAUAAUUUAGAGUAGAUUUGCACAAAGUGUUAGGAAGAAGGAUGAGUCUUAAAUAUAUAUUUCACAGAUACACAGAACAAAUUAGUGGUUACCAGUGGGGAGAGGGGAGAGUGGAAGGGCAAGAUGGGGGAGGGGAUGAAGGGGUGCA
Molecule: long non-coding RNA, 1445 nt
Filed under: Sus scrofa (pig)
Lineage: Eukaryota; Metazoa; Chordata; Mammalia; Artiodactyla; Suidae
Description: lncRNA (ENSSSCG00005009099.1)
Source: RNAcentral